This is a long non-coding RNA of Passer montanus (Eurasian tree sparrow), 1498 nucleotides long. RefSeq lists it as uncharacterized. The transcript has 3 exons. Lineage: Eukaryota; Metazoa; Chordata; Aves; Passeriformes; Passeridae. The record is from RefSeq and is a predicted model, not a curated record.
CUUCUCUCAGAACAACACCCUGCAAUAAGCAGAGAUAAGUCUGAGCCACAGCACCAGGUCUGGAGCCAAGCUGUUGUGUAUUUUGGCCUGCUCAGAGGGCUUGGCUGGUGAAGUUGAGACCUUGGAGCUUUAUGCUAAGCAAGAAUAAAGCAGUCUAUUGAAUAGCUGCUCACUCAUUCACUUCUGUCUGGACAUGUUCCAGAUGAGAAUGACUCCUGUAUUCUGCUGUAGAAUUUUACUCUUCCCCUAGAAAAAAACAGCAGUGAUCUAGCAGGCUUCAGGGUCCGGGAUGACCCUACAGAGGUACGAGCAUGUCCUGCGUGUGACAGAGGAACCUUUAACCUGGUACUGCUGACUGUGUAUGCUACACCUCCUCAUGUUUACAACAAGCAGAGGUGAAAACAGUGGGAUCCAUUGGUCCUUACUCCUUCUGCUCCUUACUCCUUCAUCAUUCAGGUCUGAUGCUGUUGGAGGAGCAAGCAAACGGGCACAGAGGUUUAACCAUGAACUCUACAUUGAUGACAUCAAGAUCCACAGCAGCUUUAAGGAAAGUAAUUCCCUUUCUUGCUCCCAUGCUGGUUUGUAUCUGCACAAGCAGAUGCUAUCUUUAUGUGGGUGCAAAUGAGGAACCCUUGGUGCAUCAGCCCGUCUUGCACUGCUGCUUCUCUGAGCUGGCAGAGUGAUAAACAGCAGAGUUCAAAGUACAGCUCUUUCGGAGGUCAGUGGCUUGAAUCAGAUCUUGGCCUAAUCAGUUUUUCAUAUUGACACUCUUUGAGAUAAGAGAGAAGAUGCCCCUGAACUUUGAUGUCUGGUAAAAGACACAUGCCAGGCAGUGGAUUAUACAAAGAAACAUUAAUCUCCACUGUUUUGGACUCUGGGAUAAGAUAGCCAGGCUGCAGUCAGAACAAGAUAAGGCCCCUGUCUGAAAGCUUGGCUUAUCAAUAUAGUUAGCAAGUUAUUUUGCCUACAAGUAAUUAAUGUAAUUCCAGCUGAUUAUUUUGUUUAUAAUUUUCUGUUUUGCAGGGAGUAGUCCUUAUCCAUAGUAAGGCAGAGUUCAGUCACAAUUGCAGGUGCAGGGGUUUGAGCUAUGGAUAAAGUACUACAUCACGAGAUUGAGUUUAGGUCCUUGUCUGAGGGCUGGAUCAGAGACUGUAAGAGUCUGUAUUUACUACAUCCAAAAGUAUCAUGGCCUGUCUUAAGCUGUAAGAGUGAUGCUGGCUUUGUCCCACUUGUUUAAUGGAAAGGGCACUGCAGAGCACUGAUUUUAUGAAAAGCAUGUAUAAAACAGGAUCUAGGACCAAAGUCAAAGAAAGUCAUCUGAUCUAAUAGCUACUGCAAUUGAUUCAAUACUCCCUGCAUAUUGGCCCUCUACAAAAGGAGUUUUCAUUGGGGAAUAUGACACAUGUUGAAAGUGAGUCUUACCCAAAAUCAUUUUAUCCAGCCUCAGCUAAAUAAUGCUUUACAGGGCAAUCCAAAGAGUAAUUCAGCAGAUUCAGUU